GUCACUCAGGCAUGCAAGCAGGGUGCGUGCAUGCGCGUAUGUGCACGUGCACAUUGAUGCAUAUAGGUCUUAUACAUGCAUACAUAUAUUUUGAAAUAUAAAAAUGUAAACGAGGAUCAGAUAUAGAGUUUUUAACAAACGUGCGUGUUCAUAGGCGCCAAAUUCUUUCUCCGCCGGUGGCAGCGUCAUGCUUACUUAGCAACGAAAGAAGCUCUGAAGCGCCCACGCGCUUUGAAGAGGAGAAAAGCGGCGCGGUCACGUUUCCCGCGUGGUUUCAGACGCGACAUGUAAUGUAAAUGUUAAAGCAACUGUGCGUAUGUGUUGGCCGUUUCGGUGGCUGCCCGAGCCGAGCCCCGGAGGACCCAGGGGAUCAGGGCAUAUCUGCGUGUUUCUUUGUAGCACUUCCACUCAUAAAACAACAAGUGAGAAACCUUUUUGUGGUUAUAAUGUUUCAACCUGCGCUGAAAACGCGUUCUGAUGAUGUACUGGUAGCGCAGAUUGAUACUUUUUCGCAACUUUGAAUGACUAAGAGGGAACGUCCGUUUCUCAACCGAAGGCUGCAACCUCCGGAGGUCGCAUAUGCAGGCUGUAUGUCAUCAAGCCUUAUUAUUUUCAUACAUUUGCAACUCAUAAGCAUAUUACAACAAUGUAUGAUCAACAAAGAAUAACAGUCAAGCUUUCAAAAAUGAUAUUGGUAUGAAAAAUGACUGUAUAUUUGAAUCCAUGUUUCUUUGUCUUUUAGGUGUUGGCAACAGCAACAGACGUUGAAAAAACACUAGCUUCCUGUCUAUUUUUGUGAAUUGCUCACAGCAAGCGUUUGGAUGCUGAGCAUUGGGUGGUUGUGCAUCCACAUCCCCACUUCGUGGCUGGAAAGGCAGUUUGUUUUCUAGCUACUACAACUUCAAUUUUGUGUACCAGGAGCAAGCAUCUUGCACACUGGAGUUUAUUCAAAGAUGCUUCAUUGGACUGAACCCAUCCACCAAGACAGCAAAGGUGGUUAGCCAAAAAAGCGGGAAGGUACAGGAGAAAAAGAACAACUGCAUUAACCCUAACAUCUCCUCUCUACUCAAGCGGCU
Paramisgurnus dabryanus is the source of this 1076-nucleotide non-coding RNA. The record is from RefSeq and is a predicted model, not a curated record. NCBI's taxonomy places the organism in Eukaryota, Metazoa, Chordata, Actinopteri, Cypriniformes, Cobitidae.